CAUGCAAGUCGAACGAAGUAGCAAUACUUAGUGGCAGACGGGUGAGUAACAUGUAGGUAUCUACCCUUUGGCCUGGAAUAACACGAGGAAACUUGUGCUAAUACCGGAUAAGUCUUUACGGAGAAAGCUUUAUGCACCAUUGGAUGAGCCUGCACUUGAUUAGUUUGUUGGUGGGGUAAUGGCCUACCAAGACUGUGAUCAAUAGCUGAUUUGAGAGGAUGAUCAGCCACAUUGGGACUGAGACACGGCCCAAACUCCUACGGGAGGCAGCAGUGGGGAAUCUUGCACAAUGGAGGAAACUCUGAUGCAGCGAUGCCGCGUGAGUGAAGAAGGCCUUUGGGUUGUAAAGCUCUUUCGUCGGGGAAGAAAAUGACUGUACCCGAAUAAGAAGGUCCGGCUAACUUCGUGCCAGCAGCCGCGGUAAUACGAAGGGACCUAGCGUAGUUCGGAAUUACUGGGCUUAAAGAGUUCGUAGGUGGUUGAAAAAGUUGGUGGUGAAAUCCCAGAGCUUAACUCUGGAACUGCCAUCAAAACUUUUCAGCUAGAGUGUGAUAGAGGAAAGCAGAAUUUCUAGUGUAGAGGUGAAAUUCGUAGAUAUUAGAAAGAAUACCGAUUGCGAAGGCAGCUUUCUGGAUCAUUACUGACGCUGAGGAACGAAAGCAUGGGUAGCGAAGAGGAUUAGAUACCCUCGUAGUCCAUGCCGUAAACGAUGUGUGUUAGACGUUGGAGAUUUAUUUUCAGUGUCGCAGCGAAAGCGAUAAACACACCGCCUGGGGAGUACGACCGCAAGGUUAAAACUCAAAUGAAUUGACGGGGACCCGCACAAGUAGUGGAGCAUGUGGGUUUAAUUCGAAGAUACGCGCAGAACCUUACCAACACUUGACAUGUUCGUCGCGACUUUAAGG
RNAcentral lists this ribosomal RNA (905 nucleotides) under uncultured marine bacterium. RNAcentral's name for it is "bacterial SSU rRNA". It matches the Rfam family "Bacterial small subunit ribosomal RNA", at positions 54 to 1006 of the family's 1533-position model. The record is from RNAcentral.